This 698-nucleotide ribosomal RNA is filed under the name uncultured Alphaproteobacteria bacterium. RNAcentral describes it as "bacterial SSU rRNA". It matches the Rfam family "Bacterial small subunit ribosomal RNA", at positions 28 to 775 of the family's 1533-position model. Lineage: Bacteria; Pseudomonadati; Pseudomonadota; Alphaproteobacteria. The record is from RNAcentral.
AGCGAACGCUGGCGGCAGGCCUAACACAUGCAAGUCGAACGGCUCUUCGGAGCAGUGGCGGACGGGUGAGUAACGCGUGGGAACGUGCCCUUUGGUUCGGAACAACACAGGGAAACUUGUGCUAAUACCGGAUGAGCCCUUCGGGGGAAAGAUUUAUCGCCAUUGGAGCGGCCCGCGUUGGAUUAGGUAGUUGGUGGGGUAAAGGCCCACCAAGCCGACGAUCCAUAGCUGGUCUGAGAGGAUGAUCAGCCACACUGGGACUGAGACACGGCCCAGACUCCUACGGGAGGCAGCAGUGGGGAAUCUUGCGCAAUGGGCGAAAGCCUGACGCAGCCAUGCCGCGUGAAUGAUGAAGGUCUUAGGAUUGUAAAAUUCUUUCACCGGGGAAGAUAAUGACGGUACCCGGAGAAGAAGCCCCGGCUAACUUCGUGCCAGCAGCCGCGGUAAUACGAAGGGGGCUAGCGUUGCUCGGAAUUACUGGGCGUAAAGGGCGCGUAGGCGGACAGUUUAGUCAGAGGUAAAAGCCCAGGGCUCAACCUUGGAACUGCCUUUGAUACUGGCUGUCUUGAGUUCGGGAGAGGUGAGUGGAAUGCCGAGUGUAGAGGUGAAAUUCGUAGAUAUUCGGCGGAACACCAGUGGCGAAGGCGACUCACUGGCCCGAUACUGACGCUGAGGCGCGAAGCGUGGGGAGCAAACAG